Molecule: long non-coding RNA, 1684 nt
Organism: Patella vulgata (common limpet)
Lineage: Eukaryota; Metazoa; Mollusca; Gastropoda; Patellidae
Exons: 4
Source: RefSeq, a predicted model, not a curated record
UAUCAACAGUGCAGGAGUAAAUGUAUUCGCCGCUAUGGUAUAGAUUUUUAGAUAUACGACUAUCGCGCUCGGUGAAUAGCGUGGUUUUGACAGUAGCUAGAUUAGAACCGGAUGCCGUUUGGUUACCAGGGUGACAUUUUCAGGUUUACUACAAUAAGAUGAAUUAGUUGCUCGGAAUUAUGACUUCGUCUGUUUUACAACUUGUUGGGUUGUGACAAAAGCUAAACGCCAAGUCACAAUUCAUGUAUGAUACUUGACGCGCCGCGAUGUAGUGAGUGUUGUGUUUCAUAGCCCCGAAGAAAUGACUUCUAUAUCAGGAAAUUAGCCCGGAUAUAUGCAGUGUAUACCGUUCAAAAGUACAUUUUUAUAUAAAUGAAGUUAGAAAUGGUACUAAGUUUUCAAGAAAUGGAUGUUCAAAUGUAUAUUUAUAUAUUAUUCUAAUACAACUGGGUUGUGCAUUUGUACGUGGAUGUUUUUUCGCUGAAAAUUAAUGAGAACCAAACCAGGAAAGGUUUUCGACAUCAAGUUGUUUUAAAGGAUUAAAAGAAACUUUUUAAAGUCACGUCAGCGAUAAAAGAAAAGAUUCAGAAUAAAGAGAAAAAGUAACUAUGAAUAGCGCCUAUGGGGAAGUGGGCCACCGCUUCCAUAUAAACAAACUUUGUAAUCUAAGAUAAGAGCGUCUGUUCAGUAUAAACUAAAACAGCAUACACAUGUAAACAAUUGUAUACACAGACAGGCCGUGGGCUAACUUAAAUCAUAAAAGAGAAAGUGUUUCUUCAGAUAUUAACAAUGAACGUGCUAACGGAAAUUAAUGGUAAUACGCUGGCUUUAAUCAGUAUGGCGAUAUUAGUGAUGUUAGAUGUAGUAUGCAGCCAAUGUCCACACGAUGCUAUAGAACAGAUGCAAGCGUGUACUGGAAGACAAGGCAAUAUGACUGUUGGCAAAGAUUUACAAAAAGUAGAGCGGUUUUGCAAGAACCUAAUGGAAGUACCCAUCUGUCUAGAAACUAUACUUAAUAAAUGUCAGGAACAUUUGGAUGCCCAACACGCAGACAGUCUCAAACAAACUACUUACCAAUGGAGAGAUAAAUUAGACAAGAUUUGUAGUAAUAUUUCAGCAAAUGGAGCAACGAUAUAUAAUACAAAUUUUCAAUUAGUCUUUGUGAUUCUGAUAUUUAUAAAAAGUAUAUUAUGGAUUGGCAGAACUUGAUUUGUAGAAAAUGACAACGACAAUCAAAACCAAAUUGGUGCUUCUAAAGCGUAGGAGGUGAACAUAUUCAUGGCGAUUUGUUGAAAAAAGUGGCUUAAUUAUAGAUAAUACCUAUUAAGGAUCAAAACAAUAUGGAGAUGAUGAAAAUUCUUCUAUGGAUUUAUUUUCAGAAAAAAUUGGAGUAAUUUCGUUAAACUUGUUAACGAUGGAGCAUUAUUGGGAUACUUCUGUAGUUAUAAAAAAAGAGAAAGUGUGCAAGUUCGCGUUUAAAGAGACCAGCGGAUUUCGUUGUUGUUUUUGUACUCAUCAUCUCGCAUAUGGGCACACAAGAUGAGCAUUAUUCUGUUUUACUUGCAGAGAACUAAACCAUAUCGUUUGUAAUCUUCGUUAACAAGACUUGUGCUUAAUGUUCUGCGAGUAAGAGUGUUCAUAUGUUUUAUCUAAGUGAAGAGACUUGUGCUUUAUUUUAUUAAAU